RNAcentral lists this long non-coding RNA (394 nucleotides) under Mytilus galloprovincialis (Mediterranean mussel). Lineage: Eukaryota; Metazoa; Mollusca; Bivalvia; Mytilida; Mytilidae. The record is from RNAcentral.
UGCGGGGAAACAAAACAUUCACUCUGUGGUUAAAGUUUUUAGAAUUUUAAUAACUUUCUUAAACUAUCCUGGAUUUGUACCAAACUUGGACAGAAGCUUGUUUAUGAUCAUAAGAUAAUAUCCAGAAGUACUUUUUGUAAAAAUAAAAUUCCAUUUUUUCUGUAUUUUACUAUAAAUGGACUUAGUUUUUUCUGCGGGGAAACAAAACAUUCACUCUGUGAAUAAAGUUUUUAGAAUUUUAAUAACUUUCUUAAACUAUCCUGGGUUUGUACCAAACUUGCACAGAAGCUUGUUUAUGAUCAUAAGAUAGUAUCCAGAAGUAAAGUUUGUAAAUAAAUAAAUCUAUUUUUUCCAUAUUUUACUUUUAAAUGGACUUAGUUUUUCUGCGGGGAAC